RNAcentral lists this ribosomal RNA (305 nucleotides) under uncultured bacterium. RNAcentral's name for it is "bacterial SSU rRNA". It matches the Rfam family "Bacterial small subunit ribosomal RNA", at positions 335 to 632 of the family's 1533-position model. The record is from RNAcentral.
GUGCCUACGGGACGCAGCAGUGGGGAAUAUUGCGCAAUGGACGAAAGUCUGACGCAGCGACGCCGCGUUAGGGAUGAAGGUUUUCGGAUCGUAAACCUCUGUCAGGAGGGAAGAAAGCGCAUGGCUGAUUGGCGCCAUGCGUUGACGGUACCUCCAAAGGAAGCGCCGGCUAACUCCGUGCCAGCAGCCGCGGUAAUACGGAGGGCGCGAGCGUUAAUCGGAAUUACUGGGCGUAAAGCGCGCGUAGGCUGUUGUGUAAGUUGGGGGUGAAAUCCCACGGCUCAACCGUGGAACAGCCCUUGAUA